UGGUGGGUAGUUUGACUGGGGCGGUCUCCUCCUAAAGAGUAACGGAGGAGCACGAAGGUUGGCUAAUCCUGGUCGGACAUCAGGAGGUUAGUGCAAUGGCAUAAGCCAGCUUGACUGCGAGCGUGACGGCGCGAGCAGGUGCGAAAGCAGGUCAUAGUGAUCCGGUGGUUCUGAAUGGAAGGGCCAUCGCUCAACGGAUAAAAGGUACUCCGGGGAUAACAGGCUGAUACCGCCCAAGAGUUCAUAUCGACGGCGGUGUUUGGCACCUCGAUGUCGGCUCAUCACAUCCUGGGGCUGAAGUAGGUCCCAAGGGUAUGGCUGUUCGCCAUUUAAAGUGGUACGCGAGCUGGGUUUAGAACGUCGUGAGACAGUUCGGUCCCUAUCUGCCGUGGGCGCUGGAGAACUGAGGGGGGCUGCUCCUAGUACGAGAGGACCGGAGUGGACGCAUCACUGGUGUUCGGGUUGUCAUGCCAAUGGCACUGCCCGGUAGCUAAAUGCGGAAGAGAUAAGUGCUGAAAGCAUCUAAGCACGAAACUUGCCCCGAGAUGAGUUCUCCCUGACUCCUUGAGAGUCCUGAAGGAACGUUGAAGACGACG
This 596-nucleotide ribosomal RNA is filed under the name Escherichia coli. RNAcentral describes it as "partial 23S ribosomal RNA". It matches the Rfam family "Bacterial large subunit ribosomal RNA", at positions 2259 to 2849 of the family's 2925-position model. The record is from RNAcentral. Lineage: Bacteria; Pseudomonadati; Pseudomonadota; Gammaproteobacteria; Enterobacterales; Enterobacteriaceae.